RNAcentral lists this small RNA (392 nucleotides) under Pongo abelii (Sumatran orangutan). RNAcentral's name for it is "processed transcript". Lineage: Eukaryota; Metazoa; Chordata; Mammalia; Primates; Hominidae. The record is from RNAcentral.
UGCAAUGAAUGACAGGAGGGCAGAGCAGAGCUCCUGCGGGGAAGGGGCCGAGCCAACCCCCAGCUGGGAGCAUGUCCUCUUCACCGCCUGCCACAACCAGCACCUGCAGCUGCAGCCCCCGCGCCGCAGGCUGCACUCGUGGGCGGACGACUGGAAGGCCAUUCUGGACAGCAAGCGGCCCUGCUGAGCUGGACUGUGCUUCAGGCUCCUCUGUGGGGCUCUGACCUCAGGGCUCCCACCUCGGGGCCUGUGGGGCCAGUACGCUGGUCUGGGAGUCCCUCCUAGACUCCUGGGCCCCAUGACCUCCUGCUGCAUGUCCCUUCCUUUCCCCAGCCCUGCCAGGCCUUAACCUGAUUACGGGGCAGGGCUGGGCCCUCUGGGCGAUUGGUCAU